Molecule: long non-coding RNA, 237 nt
Filed under: Nicotiana benthamiana
Lineage: Eukaryota; Viridiplantae; Streptophyta; Magnoliopsida; Solanales; Solanaceae
Description: long non-coding RNA (NBEN_LNC011462)
Source: RNAcentral
GCAGCUUCUCUACCAAGAUCCAGAGGCCUCCUCAGAGAAGGGUCCUGUAUCAUGUGUAGUAAGCAGGAAUGUUCAGUGAACAUAACUAUACAAUGCAGCUGCUUCACUAACUUGUGAACAGAAAUCAUGUUGUGUUUAAAAGAAGGAACUAGCAGUACAUUGCGAAGAGUGAUGGAAGGAGUCAAUGCAAAAGAGCAUGUGCAUGUCACCUUCACUUUAUAGCCAUUUGGAAGAGUG